RNAcentral lists this ribosomal RNA (494 nucleotides) under uncultured bacterium. Its description in RNAcentral is "partial 16S ribosomal RNA". It matches the Rfam family "Bacterial small subunit ribosomal RNA", at positions 28 to 507 of the family's 1533-position model. The record is from RNAcentral.
GACGAACGCUGGCGGCGCGCUUAACACAUGCAAGUCGAACGGAAAGGCCUGCUUUCCCUUGUGGUUUGCGGGUACUCGAGUGGCGAACGGGUGAGUAACACGUGAGUGAUCUGCCCCCAACUUGGGUAUAAGCCUGGGAAACUGGGUCUAAUUCCCGAUAGUACUGCAGGGUGGUGCCUGUGGUGGAAAACGAUUUUCUAGUGGUUGGGGAUGAGCUCGCGGCCUAUCAGCUUGUUGGUGGGGUAAUGGCCUACCAAGGCGGCGACGGGUAGCCGGCCUGAGAGGGUGGACGGGCACAGUGGGACUGAGACAAGGCCCAGACGCCAACGGGAGGCAGCAGUGGGGAAUAAUGCACAAUGGGCGGAAGCCUGAUGCAGCGACGCCGCGUGGGGGAUGACGGCCUUGGGGUUGUAAACUCCUUGCGACCGAGAGGAAGCCACCUGGAUGGAAGGGUGGUGACGGUAGUGGUAGAAGAAGCACCGGCUAACUACGUG